GUAAGUCAGGGAGCCAAUUUCGGGGCUUUGACAUUAAAUUGUCGAGAAAUCCAAACAAAUGAUUUCUAAGUUCUGAGGAAGGUCCGUCCACCAAAAACAAGUUGUCUUUCGAAAGGAAGAUUCCCGCGAGGGAAAGCUCUGGAACAGAAACGAUCCUAUUAGGUUAGGCUGAAACGGCUAUCUCAACUGGUGCAACUCCAUGAAGGGGGCUUAGUCGAAUGUUGGCAAGUUCUUUUCAAAAAUGAAGAACUACAGAAGAUGGCCUAUCCUUGACUUAC
This 278-nucleotide RNase P RNA is filed under the name Candidatus Pacearchaeota archaeon. RNAcentral describes it as "RNase P RNA component". It matches the Rfam family "Archaeal RNase P". Rfam says of the family: Ribonuclease P (RNase P) is a ubiquitous endoribonuclease, found in archaea, bacteria and eukarya as well as chloroplasts and mitochondria. Its best characterised activity is the generation of mature 5'-ends of tRNAs by cleaving the 5'-leader elements of precursor-tRNAs. Lineage: Archaea; Nanobdellati. The record is from RNAcentral.